This is a small nuclear RNA of Ictidomys tridecemlineatus (thirteen-lined ground squirrel), 107 nucleotides long. Lineage: Eukaryota; Metazoa; Chordata; Mammalia; Rodentia; Sciuridae. The record is from Ensembl.
GCGCUCGCUUUAGCAGCACAUAUACUAAAAUUGGAAAAAUACAGAGAAGAUUAGAAUGGUCCCUGCGCAAAAAUGACAUGCAAAUUCAUGAAGCGUUCAAUAUUUUU